CCAUGUGGAAACAGCUAUCCAGAUCACUCAUGUUUGGAAUAUAUGCAUGUGAUAUAUAUUCAUUUAUUAAUAUUAUAAAAGAAAUGGUAUAUACUGGACACCUUAAAAUGACAGUAAAGACUUUGCUCAAGUGUGUUGCAAUAGGAGGUAAAGGCUACUGUAAUAGGGUACAGAGACUGAACACAACUCCAAAUACAAUAGGAACAAAUGAGAAUUUGUAGCCACAGGCAGAGUGAGGCUGUUGAUGAAAAAUUGGUCAGGGUGUUCCUGCACCUCAGAGCUGUGGAAGUCACAGCAGCCUUAUAUCCUGCUAGCUCCAAGAAUCUCAUAACCAUGAUGUGUCUUGAGGAAGAUAAACUGUUGAAGGAUGAUACCCACUUAGAAGAAUACCAGCCUGCAAAACAGCCAACAAGUUGCAUUUCUAUCAAAGCUGCCUUGAAUGUAUUACCUAUAAAGAUAAGACUUUUCUUUCAGUUACAUAAUAAUUUCCUACAGCUCAUUCCUUUUAAUAUUUCAUGAAUUUGAUUGCCUGCCUCUGUUUAAGUUUCUUAUGAUUAAGAAGGAUAGA
RNAcentral lists this long non-coding RNA (568 nucleotides) under Pan troglodytes (chimpanzee). RNAcentral's name for it is "long non-coding RNA NONPTRT016712". Lineage: Eukaryota; Metazoa; Chordata; Mammalia; Primates; Hominidae. The record is from RNAcentral.